RNAcentral lists this unclassified non-coding RNA (302 nucleotides) under uncultured Pseudomonadota bacterium. Its description in RNAcentral is "uncultured proteobacterium partial 16S-23S ribosomal RNA intergenic spacer". The record is from RNAcentral. Lineage: Bacteria; Pseudomonadati; Pseudomonadota.
UCCGGGUUUCCCCAUUCGGAUAUCUGCGGAUCAAAGCUCGUUUGCCAGCUCCCCGCAGCUUUUCGCAGGCUGCCACGUCCUUCAUCGCCUGUAAUCGCCAAGGCAUCCACCACAUGCACUUAGUCGCUUGACCCCAUAAUCGUGCGUCCUUGGAGGACCCACGCCACGGGCAUGUUUGCGCCACUCGCGCGCGCCUUUUGCGUUCGCGCGCGAGCAAGAUACAAGUGAACCCUUCGCCUAUCGCAGCUCUCAUCAAGCCCGAUAGACGCCUUGCCUUCCGAAUUGUUAAAGAACACUGCAAC